Molecule: long non-coding RNA, 2272 nt
Organism: Mirounga angustirostris (Northern elephant seal)
Lineage: Eukaryota; Metazoa; Chordata; Mammalia; Carnivora; Phocidae
Exons: 8
Source: RefSeq, a predicted model, not a curated record
GCGAGCCUCCUGCGGAGGCGUGGGAACGCUGCCGCGCACCUAGGGUCCCGGAGCUGCGCGCAGGCGGGAGAGGCAGCGGCGAGCGUGAGCGCGAGGUCGAUAGCUCCAGCUAGGGCAGCACGCGGACGUGGGCGCGGGCGCGGCGGGGGAGGACCGUAGAGGGGCGGGCUCCAGACCUCGGGUUUCGGCCCUCCCUCGCACCCCUCCCCACAGUCUGGCGGUGAAGUUUCUGUCUUGUGUUUAAAGAAUAACCCCAAGCGCGUGGCUGAGUGUGAGCGAGCGUGUAGUGACGUUGGGAGGCGCCGUGGCUUAACCGAACCGCCCCACUCGGCUGUCCCUUGUCUGGACCAAAACUGCUGACUGGCUGACCCUGAGGGUCACAUUUGCCCUCUGGGGUUUUUGAAAACCUUAAAUCAAAGUUGCUUUUCUCCCUGGCAACUCCCAAGGCUGCUUUCGCGGCCUCUGGGCUGUGGACAGAUAAGGACGUGAGUUUCCCCGACCAGGUACUUAACCGCUGGCUGUCUGAGGGUCUGAGCCCGGCUACCAUGUGACGUUCGAUUUGCUCUAAAUCAGUUAUUUCCAUCUGGCCACGGGGGCUGUGGAUAGUAGACUGCGCUGAGUAGACCGUGAGCCGGAGUUAUGUCCGCUCUGGCGGCAGGAAAGACGAGACCAAUGACGCAGUUGUAGGAUUAAGAGAAAAAGUGGCAUUUGAGCAGAGCCUUGAAAGGUGUCUGGAAUAGCUACAAUCCUAAACACACUUUCUUGGAGAAGGAUCAGCAUAAUCCUAAACACACUUUCUUGGAGAAGGAUCAGCAUUUGCCAAGAUACACAGAGGCUGAAGAUGCAGGCCAUUCUUAGGGAAAGAAGUGAUCCUUAGCUAGAGUGAAGGAUCUGGAGGAAAGAGGUAUGGACAAGCUCCUAGAAGAAAGAAACUGUGGUUGACCCUUGAACAACAUGGGUUUCAACAGUGCAGAUCCACUUAUGUGUGGAUUAUUUUUUAUGACUAUGGUACAGUACUCUCCUACCUUUGUGAGAUGACAUGCAUGUGUAUGGACACACCAGCUUUAUACCCAAGCUCUGUGCAUUCUUUCUCCCACUUCAAUAGCAGCUUCUCCUUGGCCCUUGGAGUGAGCAUCCCAGAGAGAAAUUUUCAAACUCAAAGAGGUCGCCUUGACUAUGUUUGGAAAAUUGGAUGAUGAAACCUCAUGAACACUAUUGACGUUUGUGUAAAAGAGCAACAGACUCUUGGCCAUGAAACUCUAGCCUGUAUGCAGAUCUAGGUUCUGCCUCACACUUGAGGAGCCAUCUGCCCGAAGCUUAGAACUCUGGAGUGACUCUGUGGCCCUUUGGUAUCCUGGUCCAAGCCCAGCUGCAGGCUAAGAGAUGACUCCACGAAAUAGAUCUCAGUUAACUGAAAAAUACCUCUCUGGACAGGUAGCUCCAGAAAUCUCUGAGCAGAGCCUGCUAAUCCAUCUGCUGUGCACUUUGAUGAUCUUGCCCACCUAGCUUCUGGCCAUCUGGCCUCUGUUAUUCUGAAAUCCUAUCAUCCCCAUUGUUAUCAGAGAGCACCGUUCGAUAGCAGAAUCUCCUAUCGUUAAUCCUGAUCUACAUGGGACAGCCGCUACUGAACUUCUAAACAAUGCUGGUGCCCCCCGCACCUAGGAGAGGAAGUUGCAAUAUUCUCCAUGGAAGAAGGCAGCUGUGAGCCUCCAGCAGCCAAAACUCACAGCAGCUGUAAGUUGGAUACAACAGGUUGAAGAAGGGAAUCUGGACAGGGCAGCAAUGGCAUCCACUGCAGGGUCUUUCCUUUCUGCCCCAGGUCCCUACUACAUGGCUUUGUCUCAGUCCUCGCAAGUAAUGAUGUUAUCUGUUCACAUGACUGUCCCUCACCAUAAAGGCUUUCCUUAUGGUGUAACUUAAUUUAAUCUCAAUACUGAGGUGUUUUCCCAAUGAAGUUUAUGUGCUCUUUCUGAGCCCUGCAUGAAAAAUGACUUUGACCAACUUAGCUUUGUUUUCCCUGCUAUAAAAAUUUUGCAAAGAUCAUCUUUCAAUCCAUAUAACUCAUGCCAAAUUACUACUGAUUUUCUUUCUGAUUAAAAAGCAUCCAUAAUUCUUGUAGUAAAUUUGAAAAGAAAAACAUAAAGGGAAAAAUAAUCUAAUCUUGCUAUCUGAAUACAACCACUGUUAACAAUUGCAUUUACUCCCAAAUAUUCCUCUCUGUGUAUGCAUAUAUAUCCUAUUUUUAACUUAACAUGACUUUAUGUGAAUUUUC